AAAUCUAAUAGAAAAGGCAGUCACAGAAUGAAAUCGCUUCAUCUGAAUGCUAAAAUUGUUAUUAGGCUACAUUAGAGAGAUAUAAGGCACGUGAUUACCAAAAAAGGAAGCAUGCCUAGCAGUUUGUGCUUGAAAUAAAAGCCGUGAAUAUGUUGAUAACAUCAGCAACGUGCCAGUAUAAUAGAUAGAGAGAGGGAGAGGGAGAGAUGUGUGUGUAUAACAAUCAGAUUAACAUAUGCAGUUUAUAUAGAGAGAGAACUACACUGCUAGUGGGUCAUGCAAUAGACUGAAGGGGAGUUCUAAUGGCUACUGCAAAUCUUUGAAUUCGGAUCUUGGUGGGAGAAGUUUGAGUUAGAUAGGAUGGCUGGCGUGUAGUACAGUGUGCCUGUGCCUUCAGUUCAGCAUUUUGGGCAGAGCAUUCUGGUGUGGACCCUUUGGUCCUUUGAUUAUUAAAUCAUCCUGAUGGGACGAGCACAACCGAAAUGUUGUUGAGGGCCAUUCUUUUCCCCUGUAAUUUUCUCAGACAAAACUCUCUCCACAAGAAAAUUUCAUCAGGUGAACACAACAUUUAUAUUGAAGCAAACAUACCCAUGUCUGUUUGGAAUUGUAGUGAUGGCAGUGGCUUUUCAAGAUCAAAGAUUCGAAGGGAGUAUUUUGAAAGUUACAAGGCUGAAGACCCACGGUCCAUGAUGCUAUGAAAAUUGUUGUAGAAAAGCACUUGUCAUUUGAGGGGGAAAUAAUUAGCCUCACCAUAUUCGUUGAAUGUAUGCAUCUAAGGAGGAGGCAAUCCUUGGAGAAUGGAAAACGCAUUCAAUGGACACUUAAAAAGUAUAGUGUCACGGUACAUAUAUUUUUUUAGUCCCACUCAUAAGCAACGGUACAAAUAUGCAGUACAACUUUGAAUAUAAAAGCUAAUUAGGUCUCAAUAGAGAAUAGUUUCAUUUUUAUUGGCUCUGAGUACCAAGGCUGACUCAGAUACACCUUGUUUCUCGGACACUUUUG
RNAcentral lists this long non-coding RNA (1002 nucleotides) under Chrysemys picta bellii (western painted turtle). RNAcentral's name for it is "lncRNA (ENSCPBG00000026145.1)". The record is from RNAcentral. Lineage: Eukaryota; Metazoa; Chordata; Testudines; Emydidae.